RNAcentral lists this ribosomal RNA (460 nucleotides) under uncultured bacterium. RNAcentral describes it as "partial 16S ribosomal RNA". It matches the Rfam family "Bacterial small subunit ribosomal RNA", at positions 338 to 795 of the family's 1533-position model. The record is from RNAcentral.
CCUACGAGGGGCUGCAGUGAGGAAUAUUGGUCAAUGGUCGGGAGACUGAACCAGCCAAGCCGCGUGAGGGAUGAAGGUACAGAGUAUCGUAAACCUCUUUUGUCAGGGAACAAAGGCGGGGACGCGUCCCCGGAUGAGUGUACCUGAAGAAAACGCAUCGGCUAACUCCGUGCCAGCAGCCGCGGUAAUACGGAGGAUGCGAGCGUUAUCCGGCUUUCUUGGGUUUAAAGGGUGCGCAGGCGGUCUGGUAAGUCAGCGGGCAAAGCCCGGGGGUGAACCCCGGCCCCGCCGUUGAACCUGGCAGUCUCGAGUUGGAGAGAAGUAUGCGGAAUGCGCGGUGUAGCGGUGAAAUGCAUAGAUAUCGCGCAGAACUCCGAUUGCGAAGGCAGCAUGCCGGCUCCACACUGACGCUGAGGCACGAAAGCGUGGGUAUCGAACAGGAUUAGAUACCCUAGUAGUC